RNAcentral lists this ribosomal RNA (252 nucleotides) under uncultured bacterium. Its description in RNAcentral is "partial 16S ribosomal RNA". It matches the Rfam family "Bacterial small subunit ribosomal RNA", at positions 524 to 776 of the family's 1533-position model. The record is from RNAcentral.
UACAGAGGGUGCAAGCGUUAAUCGGAUUUACUGGGCGUAAAGCGUGCGCAGGCGGCUUUGCAAGACAGAUGUGAAAUCCCCGGGCUCAACCUGGGAACUGCAUUUGUGACUGCAAGGCUAGAGUACGGCAGAGGGGAUGGAAUUCCGCGUGUAGCAGUGAAAUGCGUAGAUAUGCGGAGGAACACCAAUGGCGAAGGCAAUCCCCUGGGCCUGUACUGACGCUCAUGCACGAAAGCGUGGGGAGCAAACAGG